This 253-nucleotide ribosomal RNA is filed under the name uncultured bacterium. Its description in RNAcentral is "partial 16S ribosomal RNA". It matches the Rfam family "Bacterial small subunit ribosomal RNA", at positions 524 to 776 of the family's 1533-position model. The record is from RNAcentral.
UACGGGGGGGGCAAGCGUUGUUCGGAAUUACUGGGCGUAAAGGGCUCGUAGGUGGCCAACUAAGUCAGACGUGAAAUCCCUCAGCUUAACUGGGGAACUGCGUCUGAUACUGGAUGGCUUGAGUUUGGGAGAGGGACGCGGAAUUCCAGGUGUAGCGGUGAAAUGCGUAGAUAUCUGGAGGAACACCGGUGGCGAAGGCGGCGUCCUGGACCAACACUGACACCGAUGAGCGAAAGCCAGGGGAGCAAACGGG